GACGAACGCUGGCGGCGUGCUUAACACAUGCAAGUCGAACGGAAAGGCCCUGCUUUUGUGGGGUGCUCGAGUGGCGAACGGGUGAGUAACACGUGAGUAACCUGCCCUUGACUUUGGGAUAACUUCAGGAAACUGGGGCUAAUACCGGAUAGGAGCUCCUGCUGCACGGGGGGGGUUGGAAAGUGUCGGCGGUUGGGGAUGGACUCGCGGCUUAUCAGCUUGUUGGUGGGGUAGUGGCUUACAAAGGCUUUGACGGGUAGCCGGCCUGAGAGGGUGACCGGCCACAUUGGGCCUGAGGUACGGCCCAGACUCCUACGGGAGGCAGCGGUGGGGAAUAUUGCGCAAUGGGCGGAAGCCUGAUGCAGCAACGCCGCGUGCGGGAUGACGGCCUUCGGGUUGUAAACCGCUUUCGCCUGUGACGAAGCGUGAGUGACGGUAAUGAGUAAAGAAGCACCGGCUAACUACGUG
This 468-nucleotide ribosomal RNA is filed under the name uncultured bacterium. RNAcentral's name for it is "partial 16S ribosomal RNA". It matches the Rfam family "Bacterial small subunit ribosomal RNA", at positions 28 to 507 of the family's 1533-position model. The record is from RNAcentral.